Gasterosteus aculeatus aculeatus (three-spined stickleback) is the source of this 516-nucleotide long non-coding RNA. Lineage: Eukaryota; Metazoa; Chordata; Actinopteri; Perciformes; Gasterosteidae. The record is from Ensembl.
GUCUGCACGCCUGUCAAAAUGAACACGACUAGAGGGACACCUUUUGGUUUUCUCAUUUCAGAAAACAGCAUUAUUGUUCUCCUGGAAAGUUGAGACGUGUUGGUCUGCAGUUGGUUGGCUGCAAACUAUCAGUGUCUGGGAACCAUUUUGUUCUCUGUGCUGGAUGUGAAGGUCCAAACUUCAGUCAGCAAGAAAGAGCCGAUGGGUAAAGUGGUGACAGGGAGACGGUGUUACGUCGCCGUGAAACCCGUCGACCCCCUUGACCUCAUCACCACGAAGGAGUGGACAUUUGGUCUUCUCACCACGAGGCAGCGCAUGGCUACCUGCAGCGCUCAAUCACCAAUGUCAUUUAUUACAUAUACUUUUAGCUUAUUUAAUGUGAUAAAAAUGAUAAGAAAUGCAGACACGCCCUGGUCACUUGUUCCUGGUUCUCGUGUGCUUAUCAUAAUGUGUAGUGUGUCAAACAACCAGAAGGUGACAGCACUGACACGCUGUACUGAAUAUUUCAAUGCUGGU